GGCGUGGCUCAAUGGUAGAGCAGCUGACUUGUAAUCAGCAGGUUGAAGGUUCGAUUCCUUUCGCC
This 65-nucleotide transfer RNA is filed under the name human gut metagenome. It matches the Rfam family "tRNA". From Rfam's summary of the family: Transfer RNA (tRNA) molecules are approximately 80 nucleotides in length. Their secondary structure includes four short double-helical elements and three loops (D, anti-codon, and T loops). The record is from RNAcentral. RNAcentral also lists the same sequence under 2 other names.